UAAGGAAAAGGCAUGGAUCAUCUCCAAGAAAAGAAUUGCCAAAUUGCUGAUAAAUAGAUGAAAAUAUGAAUUCUCAUGGAGGAAAUAUUAUUAAGAUGAGUUUUGGAAUAUGGGUAAAAUGACAGUUGAGGAAGAAGAUGAGGUAGAAAUGAACUACUUGGGCAAAGGCCCAAGUGCAAGAAAAGGCAAGACCUAUUUUGGGGAAUUGGAUAUGAAGAUUGGUUACGGCAUAACUCAGAUAAUGAAGUAAAUGGAGCUCCUGUUUAUGUUGUUCGAAGUGGUGGCCUUGUAAAAACUAGAUCAAAAAACAUUCGGGUGGGUGAUAUUGUUCGAAUAGCCAAAGAUGAAAUUUUUCCUGCAGACUUGGUGCUUCUGUCCUCAGAUCGACUGGAUGGUUCCUGUCACGUUACAACUGCUAGUUUGGAUGGAGAAACUAACCUGAAGACACAUGUGGCAGUUCCAGAAACAGCAUUAUUACAAACAGUUGCCAAUUUGGACACUCUAGUAGCUGUAAUAGAAUGCCAGCAACCAGAAGCAGACUUAUACAGAUUCAUGGGACGAAUGAUCAUAACCCAACAAAUGGAAGAAAUUGUAAGACCUCUGGGGCCGGAGAGUCUUCUGCUUCGUGGAGCCAGAUUAAAAAACACAAAAGAAAUUUUUGGUGUUGCGGUAUACACUGGAAUGGAAACUAAGAUGGCAUUAAAUUACAAGAGCAAAUCACAGAAACGAUCUGCAGUAGAAAA
This 743-nucleotide small RNA is filed under the name Pan troglodytes (chimpanzee). RNAcentral's name for it is "processed transcript". Lineage: Eukaryota; Metazoa; Chordata; Mammalia; Primates; Hominidae. The record is from RNAcentral.